AUUGAACGCUGGCGGCAUGCCUUACACAUGCAAGUCGAACGGCAGCGGGGGAGAAGCUUGCUUUUCCUGCCGGCGAGUGGCGAACGGGUGAGUAAUACAUCGGAACGUGCACUGUAGUGGGGGAUAACUAGUCGAAAGAUUAGCUAAUACCGCAUACGACCUGAGGGUGAAAGUGGGGGACCGCAAGGCCUCAUGCUAUAGGAGCGGCCGAUGUCUGAUUAGCUAGUUGGUGGGGUAAAGGCCUACCAAGGCGACGAUCAGUAGCUGGUCUGAGAGGGCGAUCAGCCACACUGGGACUGAGACACGGCCCAGACUCCUACGGGAGGCAGCAGUGGGGAAUUUUGGACAAUGGGCGAAAGCCUGAUCCAGCAAUGCCGCGUGUGUGAAGAAGGCCUUCGGGUUGUAAAGCACUUUUGUACGGAACGAAAAGGCUCUGGUUAAUACCUGGGGCUCAUGACGGUACCGUAAGAAUAAGCACCGGCUAACUACGUGCCAGCAGCCGCGGUAA
RNAcentral lists this ribosomal RNA (508 nucleotides) under uncultured bacterium. RNAcentral describes it as "partial 16S ribosomal RNA". It matches the Rfam family "Bacterial small subunit ribosomal RNA", at positions 30 to 523 of the family's 1533-position model. The record is from RNAcentral.